Molecule: ribosomal RNA, 426 nt
Filed under: uncultured bacterium
Lineage: Bacteria
Description: bacterial SSU rRNA
Rfam family: Bacterial small subunit ribosomal RNA
Source: RNAcentral
GUGAGGAAUUUUCCGCAAUGGGCGAAAGCCUGACGGAGCAAUGCCGCGUGAAGGAUGAAGGCCUAUGGGUUGUAAACUUCUUUUCUCAGAAAAGAAUUAUGACGGUAUCUGAGGAAUAAGCAUCGGCUAACUCUGUGCCAACAGCCGCGGUAAGACAGAGGAUGCAAGCGUUAUCCGGAAUGAUUGGGCGUAAAGCGUCUGUAGGUUGUUUAAAAAGUAUUCUGUCAAAGAUUAGGGCUUAACCCUAGAUAGGCAGAAUAAACUUUUAAGCUAGAGGUUGGUAGAGGCAGGAGGAAUUCCCGGUGGAGCGGUGAAAUGCGUAGAUAUCAGGAGGAACACCAAAGGCGAAGGCACUCUGCUGGGCCAAUACUAACACUGAGAGACGAAAGCGAGGGGAGCAAAUGGGAUUAGAUACCCGAGUAGUCC